RNAcentral lists this unclassified non-coding RNA (75 nucleotides) under Candidatus Kentrum sp. MB. Lineage: Bacteria; Pseudomonadati; Pseudomonadota; Gammaproteobacteria. The record is from RNAcentral.
AGGAAUCGGAUGCGGGAAAACCGCACGUCCGUGUCUGUGCGGAGGACGUCCGGUAACGGGCGUUCCUACUGCGAG